UACAGAGGGUGCGAGCGUUAAUCGGAAUUACUGGGCGUAAAGGGCGCGUAGGCGGCUAGAUAAGUCAGAUGUGAAAUCCCUGGGCUUAACCUGGGAAAGUCAUUUGAGACUGUGUGGCUAGAGUAGAGUAGAGGGAAGUGGAAUUUCCGGUGUAGCGGUGAAAUGCGUAGAUAUCGGAAAGAACAUCAGUGGCGAAGGCGGCUUUCUGGACUUAUACUGACGCUGAGGCGCGAAAGCAUGGGUAGCAAACAGG
RNAcentral lists this ribosomal RNA (253 nucleotides) under uncultured bacterium. RNAcentral's name for it is "partial 16S ribosomal RNA". It matches the Rfam family "Bacterial small subunit ribosomal RNA", at positions 524 to 776 of the family's 1533-position model. RNAcentral also lists the same sequence under 1 other name. The record is from RNAcentral.